UGGCUGUUUGAAAUAAACGUGCUAUGGGAAAAGAUGUGUUUUUGUUGCUCUUAAGCAAAUAUAACUUUAGCGGCAUGGGGAGGCAAGUAUAUGUCCCCCAUGUACGUAAUAUGGUGGAGGACUUCAAAACGACCCCUUUUUAAGUGUAUUUUAUGUGAGCUGUCCCCAAAGAUGAAGCAUCAACUUUCUGAAAGUCUAGAACACGAGGCUGGCGGCGCCAUUAUUAAAUUUGACCACGUUGGAAUCUUGGCAUUUUCGUUCAGUGGAGUAUAGCAGUAUCAUGCAGCUGACACUGGAAACAAUUUUUGGAUUUUGUGUGAAAUUUGGAUGUUUUUUAUUUGGAUUUAGCCAAUAUUCAGAAGUCACAAAUUUAUGGGAGUUUUCGUCAACAAAGGAAAACGGUACAAUUCAAGGAACUGUUUUUAAACAACAUUGUAUACAUGCAUAUUAAUAUCGAAAGUAUUUCGCAAUUGUUUAUUAUCCUUUGAACUUUGAUUUUCAUUUGGACUGUUGGACGCGAUUGAAAUUUCUACACAAACAAUUAAAUUUUAACCGCAAUUUGGCGUUGG
This 569-nucleotide long non-coding RNA is filed under the name Mytilus galloprovincialis (Mediterranean mussel). Lineage: Eukaryota; Metazoa; Mollusca; Bivalvia; Mytilida; Mytilidae. The record is from RNAcentral.